GUCCGCCGGUUAUGACAUCUAUGUGCCGCUCGAUGGGGCCUUCCGGGCGUGGCGAGAGCUCCUUGUCUGGUCGGAGGUAUGAGCCGAGGUGCCCUCGGCGGAUGAGCUCCUCAAUUUGCCUUUUUAAUUCUCGACACUCCUCGGUGUCGUGAUCGGGCUGUCGGUGGAAACGGCAGUAUUUAGAGCGGUCCGCGAGUUCGCGCGGGCUCCUCAU
RNAcentral lists this long non-coding RNA (214 nucleotides) under Musa acuminata (dwarf banana). RNAcentral describes it as "long non-coding RNA (MACU_LNC009213)". The record is from RNAcentral. Lineage: Eukaryota; Viridiplantae; Streptophyta; Magnoliopsida; Zingiberales; Musaceae.